CAGCCGCCGCGGGAAUACGAAGGGUGCAAGCGUUAAUCGGUAUUACUGGGCGUAAAGCGUGCGCAGGCGGUUUGUUAAGACAGGUGUGAAAUCCCCGGGUUCAACCAGGGAACUGCAUUUGUGACUGGCAAGCUAGAGUGUGGCAGAGGGGGGUGGAAUUCCGCGUGUAGCAGUGAAAUGCGUAGAUAUGCGGAGGAACACCGAUGGCGAAGGCAGCCCCCUGGGCCAACACUGACGCUCAUGCACGAAAGCGUGGGGAGCAAACAGGAUUAGAUACCCCGGUAGUCCCUGUCUCUUAUAC
Molecule: ribosomal RNA, 301 nt
Filed under: uncultured bacterium
Lineage: Bacteria
Description: partial 16S ribosomal RNA
Rfam family: Bacterial small subunit ribosomal RNA
Source: RNAcentral